AACAGAGGAACUUCUACUAAAAUCGCACACGUCCUGUGUGCAACGUAGAAGCCACCACAUCCUGUGGC
RNAcentral lists this small RNA (68 nucleotides) under Alteribacillus iranensis. RNAcentral's name for it is "Bacillus sp. X5B(2010) Bacillaceae-1 RNA". It matches the Rfam family "Bacillaceae-1 RNA". Lineage: Bacteria; Bacillati; Bacillota; Bacilli; Caryophanales; Bacillaceae. The record is from Rfam by way of RNAcentral.